Molecule: ribosomal RNA, 301 nt
Filed under: uncultured bacterium
Lineage: Bacteria
Description: partial 16S ribosomal RNA
Rfam family: Bacterial small subunit ribosomal RNA
Source: RNAcentral
CAGUAGCCGCGGUAAUACAGAGGGUGCGAGCGUUAAUCGGAUUUACUGGGCGUAAAGCGUGCGUAGGCGGCUUUUUAAGUCGGAUGUGAAAUCCCUGAGCUUAACUUAGGAAUUGCAUUCGAUACUGGGAAGCUAGAGUAUGGGAGAGGAUGGUAGAAUUCCAGGUGUAGCGGUGAAAUGCGUAGAGAUCUGGAGGAAUACCGAUGGCGAAGGCAGCCAUCUGGCCUAAUACUGACGCUGAGGUACGAAAGCAUGGGGAGCAAACAGGAUUAGAUACCCGAGUAGUCCCUGUCUCUUAUAU